RNAcentral lists this long non-coding RNA (628 nucleotides) under Setaria viridis. RNAcentral describes it as "long non-coding RNA (SVIR_LNC003803)". Lineage: Eukaryota; Viridiplantae; Streptophyta; Magnoliopsida; Poales; Poaceae. The record is from RNAcentral.
GAAGGAAGAAGAAGAGCCCUCCUAGAGGCCAUGUUGGCUCUGCCACUGGAGACAUGCAACCAACAAAGGCCAUGGGGCACUAGCAUGGUUGUCAUGUUGACGUGAUUCUCUCGCUGUGCCACAUUGUUAUUUCAAUUGGCAAAGUACAUUUAUGUUUAGGUAAAGUACAUAAUCACAUAGUAAUACUUACUACUUAGUAUAGCCAGCCUUUUCAUUAAAAAAAAGAUGUGUCUCCUUGCCAAACUUUUGAGAUUUGCUUUUCUCACAAUCACUUCCUAAAAUCGUUGGAUCUACAUCCAAGGGUUUAUAUUCACCCUUUCUUUCCUUCUCUCUUCUUUCAUUUCUCCCCUCUAUCAGUCCGUCUUCCUUGCGGCAUCUUCCUCACAGGGCUCGUGGCACCUGAGUCGUACGACUCCCCCCCCCCCCCCCGCACGCAACCUCCGCUUGGCUCCGGCGGCCUUGGCCACCUCCUCUGCCGCUCGACGCUAAUCUGUUUGGCCCAUACUCCCCCGCCGCAUUCGCCGCCCACCGAGGAUCCCCCACCGCCCAGCUCUAUCGGCGCCCACGCCGCCUCCGCUCUGUCGCCGUCUCUCCCACCUCCACCGCCGGCCGGCGAGCCUCCCCGGAG